RNAcentral lists this long non-coding RNA (1045 nucleotides) under Olea europaea subsp. europaea. The record is from RNAcentral. Lineage: Eukaryota; Viridiplantae; Streptophyta; Magnoliopsida; Lamiales; Oleaceae.
CAUCUCUCGCGCUGGCGCCCUUUGUAUUGGACCAUGCUUUUGGCAUGCUAAACAACUUUUUGCGUACUGAACGCAUAGUUCUCCCAUCUUUGGCCAAAAAUAUCCACUCCUAAUAAUUAACCAUCUCAUCCUUUGGCCAGCUUGAUGAGCUCCACAUAUCCCUUCGUGCACUUCAGCCAUGAUCGUCUUGGCUUCUUGCAAACUUACACACUUUAGUAAUACACCAUCAGGGCGUUUCUUAAAUAACUCUUCGUCUAUUAGUGUGUAAUUCAGCGAACAUAACUUUGUUUUCCUACUAAUCCCUCCAUUAGGUUCUUGAAGGAACCCUUUAAUCUCUGUUCGCCAAUCCACUGCAUCUCCAUCUUGUAUACAGUGAAGUUCAAUUUUUCUCGCCCUUCUUUGAGUUACGGGCAAUAUGAUUCCGUAUUCACAAGUAGACUUCCAAUCCAAGAUUUUAGAGUACCCUGAAGCCAUUUGGGCCAACUCAUUCGCCACGUCGUUAUAUAUCCUAUUAACGCAUUGAAGUUCUACUUGAUCGAAUUCCUCUAAUAAUUCUUGGGCGAUCUCAUAUUGACUUAUAAUGGAAUCACUUUGGCAUUUAAAAUCACCAAUCAAUUGAUGUAUCACCAAUUGAGAAUCGCCCUUAACGAUCACGUUUCUUACUCCCAUAUCUAUCAUCAGUUCUAGGCCUACAAUUAAGGCCUCGUAUUCGGCUUGAUUGUUGGUGCACAUUCUGUCUAAGGUGAAUGCGAAUUUGUAGCAAAUCCCUAAAGGAUUAAUUAGUGCUACUCCUACUCCUGCACCUUUAGAGGUCUUUGACCCAUCGAAAUACAAUACCCAAGGUUUUAGUCCGAACGAGUUGAUUUCUAAUUCGAUUUCUUCAGGCAUGUCAAGGCAUGGAUGAUCGGCUAGGAAGUUAGCCAAAGCCUGAUUUUUGACUGCCUUUUGAGGUAUAUAUUGUAUUUCGAACUCUGAUAAAGCUAGUGUCCAAAGGCCUACCCUUUGGUGUAAAAUAGGGCGCGAGAACAUAUAUUUGACUAAAUUU